RNAcentral lists this ribosomal RNA (253 nucleotides) under uncultured bacterium. Its description in RNAcentral is "partial 16S ribosomal RNA". It matches the Rfam family "Bacterial small subunit ribosomal RNA", at positions 524 to 776 of the family's 1533-position model. The record is from RNAcentral.
UACGUAGGGUGCAAGCGUUGUCCGGAAUUACUGGGCGUAAAGGGUUUGUAGGUGGCUUGCUAAGUCAGACGUGAAAUCCCUCAGCUUAACUGGGGAACUGCGUCUGAUACUGGCGAGCUUGAGUGCAGGAGAGGAACGCGGAAUUCCAGGUGUAGCGGUGAAAUGCGUAGAUAUCUGGAGGAACACCGGUGGCGAAGGCGGCGUUCUGGACUGUAACUGACACUGAGAAACGAAAGCCAGGGUAGCAAACGGG